AAUCCAUAGGUUAAUGAGGCGAACCGGGGGAACUGAAACAUCUAAGUACCCCGAGGAAAAGAAAUCAACCGAGAUUCCCCCAGUAGCGGCGAGCGAACGGGGAGGAGCCCAGAGCCUGAAUCAGCAUGUGUGUUAGUGGAAGCGUCUGGAAAGGCGCGCGAUACAGGGUGACAGCCCCGUACACAAAAGCGCAUGUGCUGUGAGCUCGAUGAGUAGGGCGGGACACGUGGUAUCCUGUCUGAAUAUGGGGGGACCAUCCUCCAAGGCUAAAUACUCCUGACUGACCGAUAGUGAACCAGUACCGUGAGGGAAAGGCGAAAAGAACCCCGGCGAGGGGAGUGAAAAAGAACCUGAAACCGUGUACGUACAAGCAGUGGGAGCACAGGUUUACCUGUGUGACUGCGUACCUUUUGUAUAAUGGGUCAGCGACUUAUAUUCUGUAGCAAGGUUAACCGUAUAGGGGAGCCGGAGGGAAACCGAGUCUUAAUUGGGCGUUAAGUUGCAGGGUAUAGACCCGAAACCCGGUGAUCUAGCCAUGGGCAGGUUGAAGGUUGGGUAACACUAACUGGAGGACCGAACCGACUAAUGUUGAAAAAUUAGCGGAUGACCUGUGGCUGGGGGUGAAAGGCCAAUCAAACCGGGAGAUAGCUGGUUCUCCCCGAAAGCUAUUUAGGUAGCGCCUCGUGAAUUCAUCUCCGGGGGUAGAGCACUGUUUCGGCUAGGGGGCCAUCCCGGCUUACCAACCCGAUGCAAACUGCGAAUACCGGAGAAUGUUAUCACGGGAGACACACGGCGGGUGCUAACGUCCGUCGUGAAGAGGGAAACAACCCAGACCGCCAGCUAAGGUCCCAAAGUCAUGGUUAAGUGGGAAACGAUGUGGGAAGGCCCAGACAGCCAGGAUGUUGGCUUAGAAGCAGCCAUCAUUUAAAGAAAGCGUAAUAGCUCACUGGUCGAGUCGGCCUGCGCGGAAGAUGUAACGGGGCUAAACCAUGCACCGAAGCUGCGGCAGCGAACGUAUCACCCAAGACAACUUUACGGAGUUGACGAUUGACGGAGCGAAGCGACGUCAAAGCGUUCAUUAAAGUCGAGUUGGCUUAGGGAUACGUUCGUUGGGUAGGGGAGCGUUCUGUAAGCCUGUGAAGGUGUGUCGUGAGGCAUGCUGGAGGUAUCAGAAGUGCGAAUGCU
Molecule: ribosomal RNA, 1185 nt
Filed under: Salmonella enterica subsp. enterica serovar Saintpaul
Lineage: Bacteria; Pseudomonadati; Pseudomonadota; Gammaproteobacteria; Enterobacterales; Enterobacteriaceae
Description: partial 23S ribosomal RNA
Rfam family: Bacterial large subunit ribosomal RNA
Source: RNAcentral